Molecule: transfer RNA, 95 nt
Filed under: Burkholderia ubonensis
Lineage: Bacteria; Pseudomonadati; Pseudomonadota; Betaproteobacteria; Burkholderiales; Burkholderiaceae
Description: tRNA-Sec
Rfam family: Selenocysteine transfer RNA
Source: RNAcentral
GAAGGCAUUCGUAUCCGGUGGUACGGCCGGACUUCAAAUCCGGUUAGGGGCGUCAGCCGCUCCUGGGUAGGUUCGACUCCUGCUGCCUUCCGCCA